This 468-nucleotide ribosomal RNA is filed under the name uncultured bacterium. Its description in RNAcentral is "partial 16S ribosomal RNA". It matches the Rfam family "Bacterial small subunit ribosomal RNA", at positions 355 to 835 of the family's 1533-position model. The record is from RNAcentral.
UGGGGAAUAUUGCACAAUGGGCGAAAGCCUGAUGCAGCAACGCCGCGUGAGUGAUGAAGGCCUUCGGGUUGUAAAGCUCUGUCUUUUGGGACGAUAAUGACGGUACCAAAGGAGGAAGCCACGGCUAACUACGUGCCAGCAGCCGCGGUAAUACGUAGGUGGCAAGCGUUGUCCGGAUUUACUGGGCGUAAAGGAUGCGUAGGCGGAUUUUUAAGUGAGAUGUGAAAAACCCUAAGCUUAACUUGGGGACUGCAUUUCAUACUGGAAAUCUAGAGUGCGGGAGAGGAGAAUGGAAUUCCUAGUGUAGCGGUGAAAUGCGUAGAGAUUAGGAAGAACACCAGUGGCGAAGGCGAUUCUCUGGACCGUAACUGACGCUGAGGCAUGAAAAGCGUGGGUAGCAAAACAGGAUUAGAUACCCCUGGUAGUCCACGCCGUAAAACGAUGAGUACUAGGUGUAGGAGGUAUCGA